Molecule: transfer RNA, 68 nt
Filed under: Adrisa magna
Lineage: Eukaryota; Metazoa; Arthropoda; Insecta; Hemiptera; Cydnidae
Description: tRNA-Gln
Source: RNAcentral
UGCAUCUUAGUGUAUAGUGCACUUAAAGUUUUGAUCUUUAAAGAUAUGGUUUGAUUCCAUAGGUUUGA